RNAcentral lists this ribosomal RNA (253 nucleotides) under uncultured bacterium. RNAcentral's name for it is "partial 16S ribosomal RNA". It matches the Rfam family "Bacterial small subunit ribosomal RNA", at positions 524 to 776 of the family's 1533-position model. The record is from RNAcentral.
UACAGAGGAUGCAAGCGUUAUCCGGAAUGAUUGGGCGUAAAGCGUCUGUAGGUGGCUUUUUAAGUCCGCCGUCAAAUCUCAGAGCUCAACUCUGAAACUGCACUCGAUACUGCUUUGCUUGAGGACUGGAGAGGAGAUUGGAAUUCACGGUGUAGCAGUGAAAUGCGUAGAUAUCGUGAGGAAGACCAGUGGCGAAGGCGGAUCUCUGGACAGUUCCUGACGCUGAGGCGCGAAGGCCAGGGGAGCAAACGGG